UGACAGUCGACGCUGAGCUUGGUGCUUGCACUGGGUGGAUGAGUGGCGAACGGGUGAGUAAUACGUGAGUAACCUGCCCUUGACUCUGGGAUAAGCCUGGGAAACUGGGUCUAAUACUGGAUAUGACCUCCUGUCGCAUGGUGGGGGGUGGAAAGGGUUU
RNAcentral lists this ribosomal RNA (160 nucleotides) under Arthrobacter sp. Its description in RNAcentral is "partial 16S ribosomal RNA". It matches the Rfam family "Bacterial small subunit ribosomal RNA", at positions 60 to 212 of the family's 1533-position model. Lineage: Bacteria; Bacillati; Actinomycetota; Actinomycetes; Micrococcales; Micrococcaceae. The record is from RNAcentral.